This 468-nucleotide ribosomal RNA is filed under the name uncultured bacterium. RNAcentral's name for it is "partial 16S ribosomal RNA". It matches the Rfam family "Bacterial small subunit ribosomal RNA", at positions 28 to 507 of the family's 1533-position model. The record is from RNAcentral.
GACGAACGCUGGCGGCGUGCUUAACACAUGCAAGUCGAACGGAAAGGCCCUGCUUUUGUUGGGUGCUCGAGUGGCGAACGGGUGAGUAACACGUGAGUAACCUGCACUUGACUGUGGGAUAACUUCAGGAAACUGGGGCUAAUACCGGAUAGGAGCUCCUGCUGCAUGGUGGGGGUUGGAAAGUGUCGGCGGUUGGGGAUGGACUCGCGGCUUAUCAGCUUGUUGGUGGGGUAGUGGCUUACCAAGGCUUUGACGGGUAGCCGGCCUGAGAGGGUGACCGGCCACCUUGGGACUGAGAUACGGCCCAGAAUCCUACGGGAGGCAGCAGUGGGGAAUAUUGCACAAUGGGCGGAAGCCUGAUGCAGCAACGCCGCGUGCGGGAUGACGGCCUUCGGGUUGUAAACCGCUUUCGCCUGUGAUGAAGCGUGAGUGACGGUAAUGGGUAAAGAAGCCCCGGCUAACUACGUG